This 497-nucleotide ribosomal RNA is filed under the name uncultured bacterium. Its description in RNAcentral is "partial 16S ribosomal RNA". It matches the Rfam family "Bacterial small subunit ribosomal RNA", at positions 28 to 507 of the family's 1533-position model. The record is from RNAcentral.
GAUGAACGCUGGCGGCGUGCCUAAUACAUGCAAGUCGAGCGAACAGACGAGGAGCUUGCUCCUCUGACGUUAGCGACGGACGGGUGAGUAACACGUGGAUAACCUACCUAUAAGACUGGGAUAACUUCGGGAAACCGGAGCUAAUACCGGAUAAUAUAUUGAACCGCAUGGUUCAAUAGUGAAAGACGGUUUUGCUGUCACUUAUAGAUGGAUCCGCGCCGCAUUAGCUAGUUGGUAAGGUAACGGCUUACCAAGGCAACGAUGCGUAGCCGACCUGAGAGGGUGAUCGGCCACACUGGAACUGAGACACGGUCCAGACUCCUACGGGAGGCAGCAGUAGGGAAUCUUCCGCAAUGGGCGAAAGCCUGACGGAGCAACGCCGCGUGAGUGAUGAAGGUCUUCGGAUCGUAAAACUCUGUUAUUAGGGAAGAGCAAAUGUGUAAGUAACUAUGCACGUCUUGACGGUACCUAAUCAGAAAGCCACGGCUAACUACGUG